UUUAAGAUUCGUCUAUGCCGAACCCAGUCAAGACCAUUUACGAAGAUAAGUCCAUUACCAGCAAGUUUAAGGAUCUCAGGUUUUGUCUUUGAUUUAGCAAAAAAACCAAACUUGUUCGAUAAGAUCUGUUUCGCUAGCUCAUGAUCUGAGAUGCAUAACCUUGGCUCUGUUCCUUGCCAGUAAAGAAAAGUCUCUCCUAAUAAAAUAGUACCAUUGGUAUCGUGUUAGUUACGCAUCAUAUCUUUGUCUAGUGAAACACAAAAAAACUAAAGAAAGGAAGAUUAGAGAAGAUGGAGAACUAAAACGGCACCGUAUUGAGACAUCCAUUGCUGAAGAUGAGGUAAAAGGCGAGGGACGAUAUCGUUGGAGUUUGGAUCAAGAAUCUUAAGCUUAGCUUCGUUCUUCACCUUCCUAAUCUCGCGGAGGUUCCCGUACAAGAUCCUGUAUUUUGGGCCUGAGAUUCCUUGCUUCUUGAAUCUUCUUGAUAGCAUCAAUGGCCGCCAAACAAGGAUCCGACAAGCUCCAUAUAUCUUCGGAACUACAAGGAGCACUAGAGCUAUUGCUAAGAGAUUGAUCGUGCUCAGGAGUUCCAUUGGAAGAACAAACAAUUUUUUUUUUUUGGUUUGAGUUUGCUUUGUGGUGGAUUCGAAGUGGGGUUUUCAGUUUUAUGUCUCAUGUGAGUGUGAGGUCGUCCUGACUUCUGUUUCUGAUAUAAGCAAGCACAAGCACUCUAUUUCUAUUUAUUCCUGUUUUGAAGAAAUAAUGAAUAAAAUUCUAACCGAACAAAAAAAGAGAUAAUGAAAAGAACUUUAUGUCAUUUUUUUUUUUUUUAAUAUAAUGUUAAAUUAUAUUCAAAGGAAAAAUAAACGUUUGUACAACAAGUGCAAAAGAACUUUAUGUUAAUUUUGGCAUCUUGUUUUGUCAAACACUUUGACAUCUAAAAAAGAAAUAUUUAAGCAUUUUCUUAAAUUUAUGAAAGAGAAUUUGUCUUUAACCAAUUGAAGUUUAUUCGAGUUAUACAGAUUAACAAAAGUAGUUCUGAAUUUUAUUUGAUAACUGAGAUGUGAUAUGAGUGAAAAAACAUAGGAGUUAGGAUCACACUUGGUUUUUAACAAAAUUCAACGUAGUUUAAUGGAGUUUAUUUUACAUAAGAGAAAUAAAAUAAUAGUAUAAUACAAUGUAACGGACGAUAAAUAAAGUAUGUUAAUGCCUUAAUAAUGGAGGUGUGGGGACAGUAGUCUUUUAAAUUCAUUGAACAACAUCGAUUAUAUAAUAGAUGACGUGAUUGCUUAUGCAAGUAAGUCUUAUCUUCUCGAAGCUUACAAGUUACAAGUUAGAAACAUAAGUUAUAUAGAUGUUGUUUCUAGGGAUAUGACACACGUAGAAAAUCGUAUAAAAGCUAAAGCUUACGUGAUCGUCUCAAACGGCAACCACGAAUAACGCAAACAGCGAUCCAGAUUUUUCGUUUGGCAUUUUGCCAUUUUUUGUAAUAAAAUCUGAUAUACUUUCAUCAUCAUAAUAUUUUGAAGUUAUAGGACAAUUUCUAUUGUUAUAACUUAUUAACAUUUUGCACUGUUUUUUUUUUCUGAACAAAAGGAGGUUCGAGAUUCCUAUAUUUUAGAUUUAUUAUGAUGCAUUUAUUAGUUUAUUAUCCCCGAAACCAAUUUCUAUGUGAACAAUACUGGAUUUAUCCAAGUACAAAAACAAUGACUCACGCAACAAUAUAUAUAUUUUGUCACAAAACAACAGUUAGUCAGUUUCAACAAUAUAUAUUGUCGGUUACUCAUGUUUCAAGUUGCUUUUAGCUUUUUAAUUCAUGAUGAAAACGUUCCACUUUUCAAUUACACAUGCAAUAUACAGUAUCACAUCACUUAUACGCCGGCUUUAAGCAAUAAGCCCAAUAUAUUAAUAACUAUUUAGCCCAUCCAAGGGUUCCAAAUUGAGACUGUAAAAGCCCAAUAAUUUAACAAGGAUUAGUUAAAGCCCCCACCAUAAGAAAUAAGCCGGCCUAUAUGAAGAAGACUUUGUCACACACAUAAGGUAGAGAGAUACUUAGUUUCAUUAAGACUUCAGUCUUCCAGAGGCUGAAGCAUUACGGGUAAGCCGUACUGAGGCUGAAUAGUGAGGUGAUCCACCGGCGCGUGCUUAUACUCGUCACAGAGGCUAAUAAACCGAAACCGUUGAAGAAUCAUGGUGAGCACAGUCUUGGCUUCGAUCAUGACAAAGUUUUGGCCAAUGCAGGCUCUUGGUCCGACGGAGAAUGCUAGGAGAGCAUUUGGGUGGUUGGCGGCUCGGGAAACACCGUUUGCAAACCGCGUUGGGUUGAAUUUGUCGGCGUCGGAUCCCCAAAGGGUCUUGUCGCUAUGCAUCUUCAGAAGCGGGAUGACGACGGUUGUGCCCUUGGGAAUCUCUAGGUCACCUAGCUUUGUGCUUACUGAUGCUUCUCGGGCCAAAGCUGACGUUGGUCCGUAAAGUCGAAGCGACUCCAUGAUCACCAUGUUCAUCUGCAAGAAAUAAACAGGUUUCUUCAACCGCAAGAAACAUUGUCUCACAAGAAACCCUUUGAAAAAAUGAAAAACAUUACCAGUUUGAGUUUGGAGAAAGUUUCUGAAUCUAGGGUUUUUUGUUUACCACAUUCUUUGAAUAUCUCUUCUCUGAGUUUCUCCUGCCAAUCUUGGUGCAAGCUCAGCAACAUCGUUGUCCAUGUCAAUAAAUUCGCAGUAGUUUCGUGACCUCCGAAGAAGAAAGUCCUGCAUUCAUGUAUGAUCUCUUCGAUGCUCAUCUUUCGUUCGUUCCCUUCAGUUUUGUAUGCUUUCAACAAGAUUCCCAGAAGAUCGUCUCCAUAAUCUGAUUGUGACUCUAGUCUCGACCUUAUAAUUCUCUUAAUUGACUUAUCCAUUUUCCUCUCCAGCUUCCAUAUCCGAAAGUUCGAAGGCGUAGGAAGAUACCUUAGAAUACAAGAAACAAGACCAAUAUAUUUCAAAUCCUAAGAAUCUUGCCUGAACAGAGAACUGAAAAUAGCAGAGUGAUAAACUUACUGAGUUCCAGGGAUAAAGACUUUGUUGAGAGACGGUAUACAACACUUUUUAAGCUCCAUUUGUGAUCUAAACACUUCGAUUCCUUCGACGUAACUACUUCCAAAAGCAGAGGUCGCUAUUACAUCUGCUGUUAGUCUUUGGAACUCUCUGUGCAUUUCCUUUUUAAUCAUCGGUUGCGCUGUUUCUUCCUUACUCUUCUCUUUUCUCCACUCCUCUAACAUCUUGAGCGUACAAUCCACCAUCACGGUAGUCAUGAUCUGAUCAACAAAAUGAAAAAAUAAAACAAAAAUUAGAUUAAUUACAUCUGUUUUCUAUAAGGGUUAAUUUCUCAAAUCCAGCUAAGAAAGAAGGAUUAAAAGACCUUGAGCCUAUCGAUGGAGAAAGCAGGGUUCAAGAUUCUUCUAUGGCGAACCCAAUCAGAACCUUCGAUAAAGACAAGUCCUUUGGAGCCGACAAGUUUAACGACCUCGGGUCUCAUCUUUGAUUUGACAAAGAAACCUAACUUGUUCGACAAGAUAUUUUUUGCAAGUUCAGGAUCUGAGAUGCAUACCCUUGGCUCUGUUCCGUUCCAGUAAAGAAAUGUCUCUCCUAAUAAUAUAUAACAUAGAUAACUUGUUUGUUACGCAUUAUCCUCUAAGGAAGUUGAAUCUAAAUUUAAAGAUGAACAAAGAGAGAGAUGGAGAAAACGGCACCGUAUUGAGACAUCCAUCGUUGAUAAUGAGGAAGAAUACGAGGGAAAAUAUCAUUGGAGCUGGGAUCAAGAGUCGAAAGAUGAGAUUCUCUCUUCAUCUUCUUUAUCUCGCUGAGGUUUCCGUGAAAGAUUCUGUACUUUGGGCCUGAGAUUCCUUGGUUUUUGAAUCUUCUGGUCACCACAAAUGGAUGCCAAACAAGGAUCACAAAAGCCUCGAAUAUCCUUAGACCAAUAAGGAGCAAGACAAUUAGUGCCAAGAAAAUUACGAGCUCCAUUGAAAAAAACAAAAAAAAAAAGAUUUUUUUUUUUCCUUUCUUUGUGUGUGUGUAUUAUUGUUGUUGAUUUGGUGUUUUAAGUUUUACAUUAUAUAAUGACAUGCAUAUAUAACUUCUUACACUUGAAUUUGUAAAAUAAGUGUGAGCGGCCAGUAAAUCAGGCACUGAACAUGAAGUAAACACAAACACGUCUGUAUAUUUUCAAUUUGAGAACAAACAAAAAGUAAUUAGUAAAGUAAAAGGUGCCUUAUAUAUGGUAUGAUGAUAGAGUAGAUUCUAAAUUUGUUUAUAGCACAGAUUGUUACGUAAUAAGAAGAUUAGAGAAAGUAUAAAAGAGAAGUGGAAGUUUUCUAGAUAAAAGAAAAAUAUAAAUUACUCUUGAAAGUAAUCCUUUUGGGAGAAUAAUUCAGGAUUUGAAUUCACACUUGAAUAAAUAUAGAACGGUUACGGUUAGCAUUCCUUGUAUCUUAGGUUUACUGUCUUUGUAUCCUAAAAUGAUAAAAUCUCUUCACAUCCAACGGUGCGAUGCGAUAAAUUCGUGGUUGUAGAUUGUAAUCUUAGGAAAUUUUAUUUUGAUACGUCUCUUAUUCCUCUGUUUUGUUUCGUAUACACCUUUUAAAGGUGGAUGCGGAUUUUAAUAUUGUAAUUAAGUGAAUUUGUUAAGACUUAACUAUCCAAUUUCUUAAACUUUAGUAUCUUGUUAUCUUAGCUUUGAACAAUAAUCAACUUUUAAAAAGAAAGAGCCUUCACACUAACUAUUUCAGAAAAUCGGACUAGAUUGUCUUGAUACGAUGAUUUUUUUUUAAAUAUCCGGAUCAUGCUGAUAUAAUAUUUUUGGAUAUUUGUCCUACUAGUCAUCCGUUAGUGUUUCCUUAGGCUGCUCCAAAAUUUAACAUCAUAGAUGCCCAAUUUAUUAGUGGGAUUAGGCCCAAAUACGAUGUAGAAUAACUACUAAUUAAACGGUAGAUUAGAUAAGUAGGGUUUCUUUUAGUAAAUCGUUUUUUUGGGGGGAUUUAAUUCAAAUGUGGAGAGGCUUAACCAUUAUGGGUAAGCCGUACUGUGGAUGGAGACUGAUGUAAUCCAUCGGAGCGUGCUUAUACUCGCGGGAGAGGUUAAGCCGGAACCGUUGAAGAAUCAUAGUAAGCACAGUCUUAGCUUCCAUCAUGGCAAAGUGUUGGCCAAUGCAAGCUCUUGGUCCGAAUGAGAACGCGAGGAGAGCGUUUGGGUUAUUAGCGGCCUGAGAAACGCCGUUUGCAAAUCGCAGGGGAUUGAAUUUGUCGGCGUCAUCUCCCCAAACGUCUCGGUCGCUGUGCAUCUUCAGCAACGGGAAGAUUAUGCUCGUUCCCUUGGGGAUCUCCACGCGUCCUACAUUCAUAUCUUGUGUUGCCACUCGAGACAUUUGAAUUAUGGGUCCUUACAGACGAAGUGACUCCAUUAACACCAUGUUCAUCUGCAAGAUAUAACAUGUUACUUCAAUCACAAGAAAUCAUUUUCUUUAACCGCAAGAAACUAUUUUAAAAAGGUAACUUAUUACCAGUUUGAGUUUGGAUAAAGUGUCUGAAUCUGGGAUCUUGUCUUUACCACAUUCCUUAAAAACCUACUCUCUGAGUUUCUCUUGCCAAUCUUGGUGUAAGCUAAGCAACAUCGUAGUCCAUGCCAAUAAAAUCGAAGUAGUUCCGUGUCCUGAUAUGAAGAAAUUUUUGCAUUCUUCUAUGAUCUCAUCUAUGCUCAACUUUUUCUCGGGAUCUUCAGAGGUUGCAGCGUUUAACAUGAUUCCUAGAAGAUCAUCAUCUCCAUGAUUCUUCCAUUUUAGCCUAGUAUCAAUGAUUCUUCUGAUCAUGUUCUUUACUUUCCUAUCGAGCUUCCAUAUACGAAGAUUCAAAGGUGUAGGAAGGUACCUUGCAGUAUAAGAAAGAACCAAAACUCAAGAAUCUCUUCUGAUUAAAUAACUAAAAGUAGUAGAGUGAUUACACUUACUGUUUUCCGUGGAUGAACACUUUGGUGGCAGAAGUAACACAACAAUUCCGAAGCUCUACAUGUGCUCUAAAGAUUUCAUUUCCUUCGGCGUAACUGCUUCCAAACGCAGUGGUCGCUAUAAUAUCAGCGGUUAAUCGAUAAAACUCUUUCUUCAUCUCCAUCUUCAUCACAUUUUGCUCUGUUUCUUCAUAUUUGUUCUGUUUUCUCCACUCCUCGAAUAUCCUCAAUGUGCAAUCCACCAUCGAUUUCGUCAUGACCUAAAAAUAAGUUAUCAGCAAGUAAUGAGAUUAACUACUGAUUGUUCUAAUUAGGGCUGUGUUCCCAAUCAAGGAAAAAAAGAUUAAAAAGACCUUAAGCCGGUCAGUGGAGAGUGCAGGGUUCAAGAUUCUUCUAUGGCGAACCCAAUCAGCACCCUCAGAGAAGGAAAGUCCUUUACCGAAAAAUAUGAGCAACUCCGGUCUCCUCUUUGAUCUAACCGAAAAACCUAACUUGCUCGACAAGAUUUGUUUAGCUAGUUCAGGAUCUGAGGUGCAUAUCGUCGGCUCUGUUCCAUUCCAGUAGAGAAAUGUUUCUCCUAUAAUAUUACAACAGAUAACCGGUGCGUUACGCAUUCUAUCGAUAAUUCAAAUAAAGUAAUGUCAACAAAGAGAGAUGGAGAAAUGAAACGGCACCGUAUUUAUACAUCCAAUGCUGAAAAUGAGGAAAAACGCGAGGGAAAAUAUUGUUGGUGUUGGGUCUAUCUUCAUCUUUCUUAUCUCCCUCAUGUUUCCGUAAAAGAGGCUGUAUUUAGGACCUGAUAUUCCUUGUUUCUUGAACCUUCUUGAUAGCAUCAAUGGCCGCCAAACAAGGAUCCGACAACAUUCCCAUAUCUUUGGAACAACAACAAGCAGAAACUCCAUCAAAAGAAACAAAGAGGUGCUCAGAAACUCCAUCAAAAGAAACAAAGAGGAAAAGUGUAAUGUGAGUGUUUAAGUUUGCUU
RNAcentral lists this long non-coding RNA (6961 nucleotides) under Arabidopsis lyrata. RNAcentral's name for it is "long non-coding RNA (ALYR_LNC002202)". The record is from RNAcentral. Lineage: Eukaryota; Viridiplantae; Streptophyta; Magnoliopsida; Brassicales; Brassicaceae.